AUAACUGGCGACGAACCAGCUGAAAAGGAAACUAAAUCGAGUUGACAAUCCGCACCAGAUGAUGGCAGGAAAACGCCUAAGCCAUCAUUACAGAGACGAGGAAGAAAAAGACGCCGAAGAAGAAGACCGAAACAGAAAAAGACGAGGAGGAAGAAACCGUUAGCAAGGCAUGAUUGUUGGGAACGAUAGCAGAAUACGAGGAGGAACUUUGCCGGACGAGAGAGAACGAGCGACAGCGUCAACUAUUGGACGCUGUUUUCAAGCCUCUAACUGAGUUCCACAUCGCAGGUCCAUUCUGUUGAGCUUGAAACAGUUACCAAUGUGUCGGACUGACAGCUGGAAAGUAGAGACAGUUAGCAAGAUAACCCCCAAAUGUCAUUGAAGAAGAUCUUCAUUGCGAGCAGCAGAAGUGGAGCUCCAGGAUGGAGCAGCGGGAGCCGGAGCCGCCCCUCACCAAAGUGGAAGACGAUGAGAAUUCCAAUGAAGCUGGGACGUUGUGUUAAACAUAAAUAAAAACAGAAUACGAUGAUUUGCAAAUCAUGUUUGACCUGUAUUUAAUUGAAUACACUACAAAGACAAGAUAUUUAAUGUUCAAUCUGAUAAACUUGAUUGCUUUUAGCAAAUAAUCAUUAACUUUGAAUUUUAUGGCUGCAACAUGUUCCAAAAAAGCUGGGACAGGAUCAUGUUUACCACUGUGUUACAUCACAUUUUCUUUUAACAACUUUCAAUAAACGCUUGGCAACU
Molecule: long non-coding RNA, 744 nt
Organism: Phycodurus eques (leafy seadragon)
Lineage: Eukaryota; Metazoa; Chordata; Actinopteri; Syngnathiformes; Syngnathidae
Exons: 4
Source: RefSeq, a predicted model, not a curated record